Trachemys scripta elegans is the source of this 432-nucleotide long non-coding RNA. RefSeq lists it as uncharacterized. The transcript has 3 exons. Lineage: Eukaryota; Metazoa; Chordata; Testudines; Emydidae. The record is from RefSeq and is a predicted model, not a curated record.
GAGCCUCUCCCUGCCCUACCUUGCCUCUUCCUUCCCCCCACAUCCCAUGCAGCCUGGGACCCCCCUGCCCUGUGCCUUCCACCUUAUGUCUAGGUGGGAGCCUGUGCCUCCCCCACCCUGUGUGCCCCCUUCCACUGUGCAGCCUGGGCUGCCUCCUCCCCUGUGUCCUUCCUCUCAGCCUGGGCCUUGUCAUGCUGUCUGAUCCAUGAGUGCAAACCUCAGGGAAGACUCUCAAGACACGGCAGAUACCCCAAACUAGUGCUCCUGGAAUCAAGUGGAUAGAUGAUGGUUUCUGCUGUCAUUUAUUAAAGAAAAAGUAUGAAAGCACAAUAAGCCACUGCAGAGAAGCAUGCAAAGGACUACAUUCCAGGGACCUUGGUUCAGUUCUUAUUGCCUGCAUUCAGUAACGAGAUCUACAACAAGUGGUGGAGA